CAAAGUACUUACGAGUUCGAACAAUGAUCAUGACCGUCCUUGAUAAUCAAAUGGCAGAUACCGAGAUAAGUCGAUUGAAGGUUGAUUGAACUUGACAGUCUAAUGUAAACUGAGAUAGAUCAUACUGACAAUAUCAAGUGCCGUAAAGUUCACGUGAUGUGUCUAUCUUGUCUAGAAUUGAACCAUCCAAUCCGGUCUAAGGAAUACAGAGCAUGAUCUAUACUCGAGACGGAUUCUUUCUUUGUUUUCCCUAAACAUCUAUAUAUAGCUUCACAAAACAGGAUAAGGAUGGGUCUUUCUCACUAUCUUCAAUUCAUUCAAACUGAGAGCGGAAGAGAUAGGGUAUGGGAAUGCUUCAUGUGUUGAGUCAAAACUGGCUCACAUGAUGAGAUUUUGUACCCAGCAAUUUGCAAGAGCAUGGAAGUCAUGACUCAUUUGGCAAGAUCUUGACUGAACAACUUGGACUUUGUGGCCUAAUUUUCUCAGGAAAGCUGCUGAGAUGGCGUUGGAUAUCACUAAUGACAGGUUCAUAAUAUAUUCUUCAAACCCUAAUCCCAAUUUGGUUGGCAAAAACCUAGGUGGGAGCAGCCACGCCCAAUUUUUAUAAAGAAAAGGCUGCAAGGAGAAAAGGAAAUUGGGCCCGUGACAUUGUCUAUAAGGUCCAUUUACUUGAUUAUUCUGGCUGCAGUACUACAUAUCGUAUGCUAGAGUUACGAGUACUACUUUCAAACACUUGGGCCGCAAGAUGAAGUGAACAGAAAUUCCAUGGCUCAUAGCUCACAAACAUGUCUUCAAUUUUCGAGUCCAAGUACUGUUUCCCUCAUUUUCAAUGAAGCUUUAGCGUGGGGGAAAAGGAGCAACCUCGGAUUAAUAAUUUCAAAAGUUAAAAUUUGGCUAAUAUAUUAUUUUUUUAAUCACUCAAGACUUGAACUCCAUGAUUAGCCAUUUCACUCUUUAUAAUAAUAAAAUAAUUUUUUUAAUGUAUUUUUGUUUUUUUUUUUUAAAUACAUUUUUAUUUUCAAUUUCAUAAUCUCCAUCAACCUCUAACAAUCAUUUGACCUCGUAGCAAGUCAUAUUUGUCUUCGGGUUUGGCUUUACUGUAACUCAUGGACUAGAUGGCUUCGGCUUGGCUAAUCCAAUGUAGUGUGAUUUUGGAGUUUAAUAAACUAUGAGAAGGUGUACAUCGGUA
Molecule: long non-coding RNA, 1189 nt
Organism: Carya illinoinensis
Lineage: Eukaryota; Viridiplantae; Streptophyta; Magnoliopsida; Fagales; Juglandaceae
Exons: 2
Source: RefSeq, a predicted model, not a curated record